RNAcentral lists this ribosomal RNA (468 nucleotides) under uncultured bacterium. RNAcentral describes it as "partial 16S ribosomal RNA". It matches the Rfam family "Bacterial small subunit ribosomal RNA", at positions 28 to 507 of the family's 1533-position model. The record is from RNAcentral.
GACGAACGCUGGCGGCGUGCUUAACACAUGCAAGUCGAACGGAAAGGCCCUGCUUUUGUGGGGUGCUCGAGUGGCGAACGGGUGAGUAACACGUGAGUAACCUUCCCUUGACUUUGGGAUAACUUCAGGAAACUGGGGCUAAUACCGGAUAGGAGCUCCUGCUGCAUGGUGGGGGUUGGAAAGUUUCGGCGGUUGGGGAUGGACUCGCGGCUUAUCAGCUUGUUGGUGGGGUAGUGGCUUACCAAGGCUUUGACGGGUAGCCGGCCUGAGAGGGUGACCGGCCACAUUGGGACUGAGAUACGGCCCAGACUCCUACGGGAGGCAGCAGUGGGGAAUAUUGCACAAUGGGCGGAAGCCUGAUGCAGCAACGCCGCGUGCGGGAUGACGGCCUUCGGGUUGUAAACCGCUUUCGCCUGUGACGAAGCGUGAGUGUCGGUAAUGGGUAAAGAAGCACCGGCUAACUACGUG